GAGAAAGGAAGGAUUAGACAUUUCUGC
RNAcentral lists this non-coding RNA (27 nucleotides) under Rattus norvegicus (Norway rat). Lineage: Eukaryota; Metazoa; Chordata; Mammalia; Rodentia; Muridae. The record is from RNAcentral.